GAAAAAAGGGUAUAAACUAGUUGGUGAUAUGAAGGCUCACCAAGGCAACGAUACAUAGCCGACCUGAGAGGGUGAUCGGGCACACGGGACUGAAGCACGCCCCAGACUCCUACGGGAGGCAGCAGUAGGGAAUCUUCGGCAAUAAGAGGAACCCUGACCAAGCAACAGCGCGUGAGUGAAGAAGGUUUUCGGAUCGUAAAGCUCCGUUGUUAAGGAAGCACGUGUAUGAGAGUCGAAAGUUCACACAGUGACGGUACUUAACCAGAAAGGGACGGCUAACUACGUGCCAGCAGCCGCGGUAAUAAGUAGGUCCCGAGCGUUGUCCGGAUUUAUUGGGAGUAAAGCGAGCGCAGGCGGUUAGAUAAGUCUGAAGUGAAAGGCAGUGGCUCAACCAUUGUAGGCUUCGGAAACUGUUUAACUUGAGUGCAGAAGGGGAGAGUGGAAUUCCAUGUGUAGCGGUGAAAUGCGUAGAUAUACGGAGGAACACCGGUGGAGAAAGCGGCUCUCUGGUCUGUAACUGACGCUGAGGCUCGAAAGCGUGGGGAGCGAACAGG
RNAcentral lists this ribosomal RNA (554 nucleotides) under uncultured Streptococcus sp. RNAcentral describes it as "bacterial SSU rRNA". It matches the Rfam family "Bacterial small subunit ribosomal RNA", at positions 229 to 776 of the family's 1533-position model. Lineage: Bacteria; Bacillati; Bacillota; Bacilli; Lactobacillales; Streptococcaceae. The record is from RNAcentral.